Molecule: unclassified non-coding RNA, 324 nt
Filed under: Hevea brasiliensis (rubber tree)
Lineage: Eukaryota; Viridiplantae; Streptophyta; Magnoliopsida; Malpighiales; Euphorbiaceae
Source: RNAcentral
GACCUAAAAUAACACAUGCGUUCUUAACAAACCCAUAAUUAAUGAAGAACAGUAAACAUCUCGUCCAAUAAAAGAGAGUUCUCAAUAGUAACACUCUAUGUGGCUCGUAAAAGAGUCCAACUCAAAGUUCAUUGUAGGCAAUCCCAAAAUACAUAUAUAAGCACCAUCUUGCAUGAUCUCAGGUUUUUCUCAAGAACACAUUGCUUUCUCCAAUAUUUCCUGCAGCUGCCCGCUCUGAUAUGCUUCGAGAGUGAUGUCGCAGCCGCCGAAGAACUCCCCGUCGAUGUAGAGCUGGGGGAAAGUGGGCCAGCUGGAGUAUUCCUU